RNAcentral lists this long non-coding RNA (951 nucleotides) under Homo sapiens (human). RNAcentral describes it as "HSALNT0381771". The record is from RNAcentral. Lineage: Eukaryota; Metazoa; Chordata; Mammalia; Primates; Hominidae.
CUGCUAUGUCACGAGAACUCAAGCCACCCUGUGGAGAAUUCCACACGGAGUGCAGCUGAGGCCUCCCAACAACAACCAGCAGCAAUUUGCAAACCAUGUGAGUGAACUCCUGAUGCAGAACUGCCUAGCUCCCAAAGUCUGGACCCAGGCACUGUCUUGGGUGCCAAGGACACAAAGAUACAUCAGCCAUUGUCUGUCCUCCUGGAGUUCAUACUUAUUAGCCUGGACCUUCAGCUUCUCUCUGCUCCAGGCAGUGAGUGAUUCGGACUCAGUUUUAUCUACUGCCUGAGCUCGUCCUGGCCAAGUAGAAACAGAAGCCGGGCAGCAGGUCCAAAGACAAAACCAUGCCUUAGGGACUGUCUGGUGAGGACACUACUGACAUGCAACUCCAAGUGGAUCAUUGCUACAGGAGUCACCUGAACUGCUGGCCCUGCUGCUCCUGGAAGCUAGAUGUGACUUCUGUUGUCUCCGCUACUGCCAGAGUGAUUUCUCAUUUUUGUGUGACUCACUCCAGCUUCCUAGUCCUAGCUGAGAUCUCUAGUCGGCUGAUCUCAAGUCACAUGUCCAUGUCCUGGCUGCCAAGAAGGCGGGAGAAAAGAAAAUCUGACCUUUGGUGUGGGGAGGUGGACUCUGUCCCCCCAGCAAGACUCACAUGGCUCACCUUGGUCAUAAUGAGUGGAUCUGGCUUUACCCAGGGCUUCAGCCUUUAGCAUUUCACAUGAGGAAUAUCCACUGAGCUGGGGGUCAAGAGGCCUGACCUUUAAUCUUGGCUCUGCCCCAGGCAAGUGUGAACUUGGGUAAGAACACUGAGGCCAGGAAAUGUUGAGUGACGUGUCCAUACUCACAUAGCAUGGAAGAAUCAGAGGCCAUGGGGUCAGGACCUAUGGGCUUAGGAUAUACCGGAAGAGGCCUGAUUUCCAGUCGAGCAUUUGCCAAAAAUCAGCAGCGUGA